This 2419-nucleotide long non-coding RNA is filed under the name Gadus morhua (Atlantic cod). Its description in RNAcentral is "lncRNA (ENSGMOG00000031391.1)". The record is from RNAcentral. Lineage: Eukaryota; Metazoa; Chordata; Actinopteri; Gadiformes; Gadidae.
AUGCUGCACGUCAUGAAUGCUCAGACUCACUUAGUCUCGCUUGCCCGUGUGUUGCCCCGUCACUCUCAUUGUGCUGAUGACGUUUGGUUGUGCGUGACCGUGUCUGAAGCUGGCGUACAGGUCCUUCAGGCCCUCCCGCUCCCGCUGGAGACGCCUCCGUCUCCACCUCCCCCGGCACCGUCCUCCACCCCUCCCCCACCACCACCACCUCCACCACCACCACCACCACCACCACCACCUCCACCACCACCACCACCACCACAGGUUGCGGCCGCUCCACCGACGGUCGGGCUUCCAGCUCGGGCUCCGGCGCAGACCAGGGUGGAGCCUCGUGUCGUCUCCGUGGAGGAGACGCCGUGCAGGGAGGCCACCCUGGCGCCGGGGCCCGAGAAGAAGAGGAGGAAGACGACGACGGGCGACGUGGAGCAGCCGGCAACGCCCGCUCCUGCUCGGGCUGAGACCCGGUUGGCUGAGGGCUGGCGGACAGCCCUCACCGGGGAAGAGCAGGAGCUGAACAGUAGGACCCUCUCGCUGGGGUUCACCCGGACGCAGCGAGAGAAGGAGAGGGCUGUGUUGACUUCAGGCGUUGCAGCAGACGGAGGACGACCACCGGCGGCGGCCGCGGCGACAGCGCCGGGCCCGGCCUCAGCGGCGGCGGUGGAUCGUCCGGCGGCAGCAGCGACGUCGGCGGUGCCUCAAGGCCGGGCGACGCCAGCGGCAGCGAGGGGGGCGGCGGUGGCCCCGGCAGCGGCCCCGGCUGUGGCAGCACCGGGGCCCGCUCUGCCGGCGCCCAGACGGCUACUGGCGCCUCGACAGCCCGCCCCCUCGGCUGCUUACCCGGCCUUCCUGCCGACGGCUGCUGCCGCAGCUGCAACUGGACCUUUAAGAGCAGCACAGCCUCUCCUUGUGGACCUCUUACUGCCCCGGCAGAGUGUGUGGGUGCUCCCCGUCCCCGUCCUGACGCUCCCUCGGACACUGCCGGCUCCACACGUCCUCCCUCCGCCGCUGGCCGCCGCACAGCACGCCGGCCCUGAGCUGCCUGUAGCCCUGCCCGCCGCGCAGCACGCCGGCCCUGAGCUGCCGGUAGCCCUCAAAACGGUAGAAUGGAGGAGGCUGAACGCCAAGCGGCGGGCGGAGGCACAGCCGGGCACAACCUACUCCUCCCGGGCCGGCGUGCCACAGGUGCAUAAGUGCAGUAAAUGCGGCCAGCCGAGGCGGAGGGAGACCGGACACUCCCGCCACGGCGGAGAAUACUUCUGCUCCGUCGCGGCGGGUCAGAGUGUGGAGGACUGGCUGAGGGAGAAGAAGGAGCGGGACCAGGGUGGAGCCCCGCACUGAUGCGCACUCUUGCCGGGGAUGGUGUUGUACAUAGUUCUCUUUUGUAUAUAGUUGUUUUUCUGUUGUGUGUGUAUAUAGUUAUUUUGCAGUGUUAGUGUAUAUAGUUGUUUGCUGUAUAUAGUUUUCAUUUUGCAGGGUUAUUGUGUAUAGUUCUUUGUUUUGUUGGAUAGCUUCUAAGUUAGUGCACACACUGCCAUAUAUAUAUAUACUGUUUAUGAAUGAAUAAAAAAAUAAGUAUUCUCUUUCUACGGUACAUGCUUGUCCCUUGUUUGUUUUUCUUCUUUAGCAAAAAGUCCACAAUAAUAAUAACGGGCGAUCGCGUCAAAUGACGUAGGACACGAAUGUUCAAGAACCUUCCUACGUCAUUUGACGCGAUCGCCCGUUUCCCGGCAACAGACGAUCGCGUCUGUUGCUAUUCGAUUAAACAAUUAAAUACAAUACAAAUAUAAAGUAAAAACAAGUGUUAACUAGCGAGCCGUUAUCUGUAUUAUGUUAUUUCGUCUUUUGGAACCUGCCCGGCAACAGACGAUCGCGUCGUCUGUUGCCAGGCAGGUUGUCAAGAUGUAAACAACUGAUGACGUAGGCCGGUAAAAUUUUCGCCCCCCGGUACAAUUUUAACGUGACACAGCCCGCUGGGAGAACAACCAUAGACAUCUUAUAGAUGUCUAUGGUUGUUCUCAUCUAUAAGAUGUCUAUGAGAACAACCAUAGACAUCUUAUAGAUGUCUAUGGUUGUUCUCAUCUAUAAGAUGUCUAUGAGAACAACACCCUGGCGUGACAGAACACCCUGGCGUGACGGAAGUACUGUGGAUGGCCGGAAGUUACCUCCGAUUAUUUUCUAUAGACAAAUAAACGUAUUUAUCGCUUGAAUUAACAAAAUAAAUAAAAAAAUAUUUCGACACGUUAGUAACCAUUCUUAUAGCUUAGAAAAGGUUUUUUAACGUUAUUUAGACAAAUACCUCAGGAUUAUUUGCGUUAUUGAACUUAGACCAAAAAUAUUUAAAUAAUAAAACAAUAUUAUGACAUGUCAGUAACCAUUUUUAUAGCUUAGCUUAUAGCUCUGACAUUCGUUACUGUCAAUU